AAACAUGUCUUUUUGAAUAUAAUAUAAAGUCUAAUCUGCUCCAUGAUUAAUAAUUAAAUAGCUGCAGAAUUUUAACUGUACAAAGGUAGCAUAAUCAAUAGUUUUUUAAUUAAAAGCUGGAAUGAAUGAUUUAAUAAGGUAAAUAUUGUCUCAAAUUUAGUAAAAUUAAAAUUUUAUUUUCAGUAAAAAAUCUGGGGGGAAUUUAAAAGACGAGAAGACCCUAUAGAUUUUUAUAUUUAUAUAAUAAUUAUAUUAAUAAAUCAAUAAAAUUUAUUAUAAUAAUAUUUGGUUGGGGAAAUUAUUAAAUUUUUUUAAUUUUAAUUUAUUUUUAACAAAAAUUAUUGAAUAAAUGAAUUUAAAUAAAAUUUUUAGAAUAAAUUACCUUAGGGAUAACAGCGUAAUUUUUUUAGAGAGAUCUUAUUAAUAAAAAAGUUUGCGACCUCGAUGUUGAAUUAAGAUUAAAUUUUAAUGAAGAAGUUAAAAAUUUUUGGUCUGUUC
This 498-nucleotide ribosomal RNA is filed under the name Madastenus sp. n. BFS-2018. RNAcentral's name for it is "partial 16S large subunit ribosomal RNA". The record is from RNAcentral. Lineage: Eukaryota; Metazoa; Arthropoda; Insecta; Hymenoptera; Ichneumonidae.